This 1558-nucleotide ribosomal RNA is filed under the name Escherichia coli O104:H4 str. 2009EL-2050. RNAcentral describes it as "bacterial SSU rRNA". It matches the Rfam family "Bacterial small subunit ribosomal RNA". Lineage: Bacteria; Pseudomonadati; Pseudomonadota; Gammaproteobacteria; Enterobacterales; Enterobacteriaceae. The record is from RNAcentral.
AAAUUGAAGAGUUUGAUCAUGGCUCAGAUUGAACGCUGGCGGCAGGCCUAACACAUGCAAGUCGAACGGUAACAGGAAACAGCUUGCUGUUUCGCUGACGAGUGGCGGACGGGUGAGUAAUGUCUGGGAAACUGCCUGAUGGAGGGGGAUAACUACUGGAAACGGUAGCUAAUACCGCAUAACGUCGCAAGACCAAAGAGGGGGACCUUCGGGCCUCUUGCCAUCGGAUGUGCCCAGAUGGGAUUAGCUUGUUGGUGGGGUAACGGCUCACCAAGGCGACGAUCCCUAGCUGGUCUGAGAGGAUGACCAGCCACACUGGAACUGAGACACGGUCCAGACUCCUACGGGAGGCAGCAGUGGGGAAUAUUGCACAAUGGGCGCAAGCCUGAUGCAGCCAUGCCGCGUGUAUGAAGAAGGCCUUCGGGUUGUAAAGUACUUUCAGCGGGGAGGAAGGGAGUAAAGUUAAUACCUUUGCUCAUUGACGUUACCCGCAGAAGAAGCACCGGCUAACUCCGUGCCAGCAGCCGCGGUAAUACGGAGGGUGCAAGCGUUAAUCGGAAUUACUGGGCGUAAAGCGCACGCAGGCGGUUUGUUAAGUCAGAUGUGAAAUCCCCGGGCUCAACCUGGGAACUGCAUCUGAUACUGGCAAGCUUGAGUCUCGUAGAGGGGGGUAGAAUUCCAGGUGUUAGCGGUUGAAAUUGCGUAGAGAUCUGGAGGAAUACCGGUGGCGAAGGCGGCCCCCUGGACGAAGACUGACGCUCAGGUGCGAAAGCGUGGGGAGCAAACAGGAUUAGAUACCCUGGUAGUCCACGCCGUAAACGAUGUCGACUUGGAGGUUGUGCCCUUGAGGCGUGGCUUCCGGAGCUAACGCGUUAAGUCGACCGCCUGGGGAGUACGGCCGCAAGGUUAAAACUCAAAUGAAUUGACGGGGGCCCGCACAAGCGGUGGAGCAUGUGGUUUAAUUCGAUGCAACGCGAAGAACCUUACCUGGUCUUGACAUCCACGGAAGUUUUCAGAGAUGAGAAUGUGCCUUCGGGAACCGUGAGACAGGUGCUGCAUGGCUGUCGUCAGCUCGUGUUGUGAAAUGUUGGGUUAAGUCCCGCAACGAGCGCAACCCUUAUCCUUUGUUGCCAGCGGUCCGGCCGGGAACUCAAAGGAGACUGCCAGUGAUAAACUGGAGGAAGGUGGGGAUGACGUCAAGUCAUCAUGGCCCUUACGACCAGGGCUACACACGUGCUACAAUGGCGCAUACAAAGAGAAGCGACCUCGCGAGAGCAAGCGGACCUCAUAAAGUGCGUCGUAGUCCGGAUUGGAGUCUGCAACUCGACUCCAUGAAGUCGGAAUCGCUAGUAAUCGUGGAUCAGAAUGCCACGGUGAAUACGUUCCCGGGCCUUGUACACACCGCCCGUCACACCAUGGGAGUGGGUUGACAAAAGAAGUAGGUAGCUUAACCUUCGGGAGGGCGCUUACCACUUUGUGAUUCAUGACUGGGGUGAAGUCGUAACAAGGUAACCGUAGGGGAACCUGCGGUUGGAUCACCUCCUUACCUUAAAGAAGC